AAUCCAGCGUUGAAAAGGACAUGAAUCAUUCGUACAUUUUCUUUACCAGAGAACAGGGUCACCGGCUGAAAGCCCUGAAGAAAAGUGAAUGAUUUACCACCUUGGAGCUAUUAUAGGGAAAUCUAAGUAUCUAUAAUCGGAUAAUCCGUUAUCUUUUUGAGCGUAAGGUGGCUAAUACUUUACGGAAUUAGGGUGGUACCACGACCACACUCGUCCCUAUU
Molecule: non-coding RNA, 221 nt
Filed under: Neobacillus niacini
Lineage: Bacteria; Bacillati; Bacillota; Bacilli; Caryophanales; Bacillaceae
Description: Bacillus niacini T-box sequence
Rfam family: T-box leader
About the family: Uncharged tRNA acts as the effector for transcription antitermination of genes in the T-box leader family. T-boxes are found upstream of many aminoacyl-tRNA synthetase genes and some amino acid biosynthetic genes usually in Gram-positive bacteria.
Source: RNAcentral